AUUGAACGCUGGCGGCAGGCUUAACACAUGCAAGUCGAGCGGGGUGAUGGUGCUUGCACUAUCACUUAGCGGCGGACGGGUGAGUAAUGCUUAGGAAUCUGCCUAUUAGUGGGGGACAACAUCUCGAAAGGGAUGCUAAUACCGCAUACGUCCUACGGGAGAAAGCAGGGGAUCACUUGUGACCUUGCGCUAAUAGAUGAGCCUAAGUCGGAUUAGCUAGUUGGUGGGGUAAAGGCCUACCAAGGCGACGAGCUGUAGCGGGUCUGAGAGGAUGAUCCGCCACACUGGGACUGAGACACGGCCCAGGCUCCUACGGGAGGCAGCAGUGGGGAAUAUUGGACAAUGGGGGGAACCCUGACCCAGCCAUGCCGCGUGUGUGAAGAAGGCCUUAUGGUUGUAAAGCACUUUAAGCGAGGAGGAGGCUCUUUUGGUUAAUACCCAAGAUGAGUGGACGUUACUCGCAGAAUAAGCACCGGCUAACUCUGUGCCAGCCGCCGCGGUAA
Molecule: ribosomal RNA, 503 nt
Filed under: uncultured bacterium
Lineage: Bacteria
Description: partial 16S ribosomal RNA
Rfam family: Bacterial small subunit ribosomal RNA
Source: RNAcentral